This 1507-nucleotide ribosomal RNA is filed under the name uncultured bacterium. RNAcentral describes it as "16S ribosomal RNA". It matches the Rfam family "Bacterial small subunit ribosomal RNA". The record is from RNAcentral.
GUUUGAUCAUGGCUCAGGAUGAACGCUAGCGACGUGCCUAAUGCAUGCAAGUCGAACGGUAGCCUUUAGAUUUAUCUGAAGGUGAGAGUGGCGGACGGAUGCGUAACACGUAGGUGACCUACCCUAAAGAGGGAGACAACCACUGGAAACGAUGGCUAAUACCCCGGAUAUCGGUCUAGUUAGAGAGGAUUGACUGAAGGUAGGUAUGUCGAGAGACAUGCACAUGCUCCUGGAAGGACCUGCGAGCCAUCAGCUCAUUGGUGGGGUAACAGCCUACCAAGACAAAGACGGCUAGGAAACGUGAGAGCGCGACCCCCCACACUGGUACUGAGACACGGACCAGAUACCUGCGAAUAACAGCAGCAAGGAAUAUUGCGCAAUGAACGAAAGUCUGACGCAGCAACGCCGCGUGGAGGAAGAAGUCUUUCGGGAUGUAAACUCCUUUUCUGGGGGAAGAAGACGGCCAUGUAAACCAUGGCUUUGCUUGACGGUACCCCAGGAAGAAGACCCGGCUAACUACGUGCCAGCAGCCGCGGUAAAACAUAGAGAUCGAGCGUUAUCCGGAAUUACUGAACGUAAAACGCGUGCAAACGGCUAAGCAAGUCGGACGUGAAAGCUCCUGGCUCAACUGGGAGAGGUCAUUCGAAACUGUAUAGCUAGAGACCGGUAGAGACGAGUGGAAUUCCCGAUGUAGUGGUGAAAUGCGUAGAUAUCGGGAGGAACACCAGAGGCGAAGGCGGCUCGCUGGGCCGGCACUGACGCUGAGACGCGAAAGCCAAAGAAGAGAACGGGAUUAGAAACCCCGGUAUUCCUGGCAGUAAACGAUGUCAACUAGGUGUAGGAGGUGUAGAAGCCUUCUGCGCUGCAGCCAACGCAGUAAGUUGACCGCCUAGGAAAUACGGCCGCAAGGCUAAAACUCAAAGGAAUUGACGGAGACCCGCACAAGCAGCGGAGCGUGUGGUUUAAUUCGAGGCAACGCGAAGAACCUUACCAGGAUUUGACAUGUCGGUGGUAAAGAGACGAAAGUCGACUAACCCUUCGGGAAACCGACACAGGUGCUGCAUGGCUGUCGUCAGCUCGUGCCGUGAGGUGUUAGAUUAAGUCCUGUAACGAACGCAACCCACGUCGUUAGUUACAAGUGUCUAGCGAGACUGCCAGUGAUAAGCCGGAGGAAGGUGUGAAUGACGUCAAGUCAGCAUAACCUUUAUAUCCUGGGCGACACACACUACAAUAGCCGGUACAAUAAACAGCGAAGUCGCGAGACGGAGCCAAUCCCGCAAAACCGGUCUCAGUUCGGAUUGCAGGCUGCAACUCGCCUGCAUGAAGUCGGAGUUGCUAGUAACCGCAGGUCAGCCACACUGCGGUGAAUACGUUCCCGAGCCUUGUACACACCGCCCGUCACGUCAUGGGAGUUGGCAACACCUGAAGUCGAUGGGUGAACCCGCAAGGGACACAGCCGCCUAAGGCGGGGUCGGUAACUGGAACGAAGUCGUACAAGGUAGCCGUA